This is a long non-coding RNA of Triticum aestivum (bread wheat), 291 nucleotides long. RefSeq lists it as uncharacterized. The transcript is spliced from 3 exons. The record is from RefSeq and is a predicted model, not a curated record. NCBI's taxonomy places the organism in Eukaryota, Viridiplantae, Streptophyta, Magnoliopsida, Poales, Poaceae.
CAGGCUUGCUACUUAAUUCUCAAAAAAAUCGUGCGUUCGCAUCACCAUCCUGUGGAACCACGAGGCAUGAUCCAGUGAUUUCAGAAAACAUUUACUAUGUUUAUGGAUCACUACAUGUUCUGCUGGAACAAGGUUCAAUACUUUUUCUGGUUUCAACAAGAAGAAGACAACUACUCACUGCUCUCAACAAGAACCACACAAGCGGAUCAUCUAACAUAACCUGUUUGAGGGAAGGCUUGUGGUGGCAACGCUGACGGUCGUCGAGAGGUUCGUGGACUAGAUGGUGUCGUG